Molecule: non-coding RNA, 69 nt
Organism: Rattus norvegicus (Norway rat)
Lineage: Eukaryota; Metazoa; Chordata; Mammalia; Rodentia; Muridae
Source: Rfam
GGGGAUUUAGCUCAGUGGUAGAGCACUUGCCUAGCAAGCAUAAGGCCCUGGGUUCGGUCCCCAGCUCCG